UGUGUGUGUGUGUGUGUGUGUGUGUGUGUGUGUGUGUGUGUGUGUGUGUGUGUGUGUGUGUGUGUGUGUGUGUGUGUGUGUGUGUGUGUGUGUGUGUGUGUGUGUGUGUGUGUGUGUGUGUGUGUGUGUGUGUGUGUGUGUGUGUGUGUGUGUGUGUGUGUGUGUGUGUGUGUGUGUGUGUGUGUGUGUGUGUGUGUGUGUGUGUUCCACUUUGAUGCCUCCCACCAGGAGCUGACCUGGCAGACCUGGAACUUCAGAGACUGUCUCUGGGAAGAGCAGCGCAGCCUAACAUAGGAUGAGAUUUACCUUAAGCCUGAGUGUAUUUCACAGUGACGAACAGGAACAGCACUUACCACUUCCCUGUGUGCCGAUUUAUGACUAUGCUUGAUCUGCUCUACACUAAUAACAAGGCAAUAACAUGCGCAGCCUGACUCAAAGUCAAUAAAGCACACACAGAGACCUUUUUUUAUUUUUAUGACAGUAGUAGUAGGCUAGGCCUAUAAAGUGUCUCAUUUGGCACAUGAUAACUCAGUAAGGCCAAAGACACCAAUAUGGCAGCGUGAUCCUUAGAAAGGUUCUGUCAACAUGAGUAAUAGAUCAUAUGACCCACUUGCUGUGUAACUGGCACACAGCACAGCUAGUGUUCGAGCUCCUCCCCCUAGCCUAGCUCCUCCCCCUCCUCUCGCUGAGGUGUUUUUACCCAAAUCCUCUAUUAUCUCCUCCCCAUUAAAUGUUGACUGUGGUCCAGGCGCCACCUAUACGGGAGCUGCCCAGCAGGAAUGCAGUGACUUCAUCUGACGAGCACAAGAAUUCCAGCUUUCUUAACAAACGUCAUUAUUACGGUUUAUAUACCAUUACUAGCUCCCCUCCCUGUGACCAAGCUACCCCCAACAUUACUCAUGAUGUGGUAUUUACAGGCCAAACACUGGACGAGCUGGGUAGCAUCAGGGGAGCUCAUUUGGCAACAGGACACAGAACUAUUCACAACACCACCACACAAAGGAGUCAAAACUCAACAUUGCCACAUUUUUAUCUAUCUUCCGGUUACUCACACAGGCUGUUUUCAUUUAGAAUGCAAGUCAGGGAGGGAGGAAGGGUUCAUCUGCGUAUCAACCUCACCAAAAGAGCAUUCUAGCACUAUGGUGGAAUUGUCACGACUGGCCAAAAUAUUUUUUCACUGUACUGCAAUAACUAUGUGCACAUAAAAAACUCACACACAGACCAAAGUGUGUUCACUCUAAUCGAGAUGAGAUAAAAUGAGUCAUCAAUCUCUAUCGCAUUGCUUAUCUCCUUCAAUAACAGCCCUCUUUCCUUCCUCUGGUAUCGGUCAGGCCGAGAGCAGUGGAAUGCUACCUUACAGGCCUGUGUGAGAGAGAGACGCUGGAACAAACUCUCCUUUGUCUGUGAGAAGACUAGGUCUCUAAACAUAUACUCAGUAACCCAGUAAAUCAAACAUGGCAUCCAACACCAACCCAUCACAGUGGCCUGAGAGAGACACCGCUCAACACACUCAGGUAGGAAACGGGAACAAACACUACACCUGAAUUCUACAAAAUGGCUUCCUUUCCUUGUCACUUGUAUUGAAUCUGCCAAACUGGACGAUAGAUGGAAGCAAGUGUAAAAGUUGAUAUAGGCCUCCAAAGAUUUCCUUUAAUUUAUCUAGUGUUUUCAGAUGGUUGUAACAUCAGGUGGUGAGAUAAGGUGAGGACAUAUUAGAUAAGAAGAGGGUAACGCUUUGGAUUAACAGAGGUAUCUGUCCCCUGACCCCUAUACAUUAUCUCAAUCUCAUAUAGCACCUCACCAAGUCUUAUUAUCCAAACGAGCCCUAGUGUGUUGGGGGUGUGGCAGGUUCCCACGCAGCCUAUGACACCCUGUGACAACUUAGGAGUUGAGUGUGCCAUGACAAGCUGUCCUCCCACAAAAACACACCUCCUAGACAGUGAAAUGUGAUCAAGCACAGCAACAGGAAAUAAACCAACCACGUUACUGCCUAUUCUCACUGUUUGUUUGUCACAGGAACAACGGUGGUAUCUAUGGGGCAUUACCAUGUAAAAAGCCCCAUGAGCACUAUCAUGUGAAGUUUAUAGGAGAACAUACAAUUCGGUGUCAAAUGUAAGCAAAGAGAAAUAAGGCAUAUGUGUUUUUAAACCAUUUUCCAGGAAUUAGCUACAUUUUUGUUUUUACUGUACUCUAAUGUGAUGUGCUGUCCAAACUUGUGAAACAUAGACGUCUGUAAUUGGUUCAGAUUUUGUCUGGCCAGGGCGGACUGACCAAAUUUCAAUUACUUUCAACAUCCAAGGACGUCCACUGUCAGUCGGUGCUUGAUACAUUGAAUAGAAAAAAGAGUAGGUGUCAUGGGAGGUGUCAGUAAGACACCUCCCAUGAGAAGCUGAAAGAAGUGACAUAAUAUCGAGAGAGGAGAGAGGGAAAGGGGGAGAGUGAGAGGGAGGGGCUGUCAAGACUGUUGUCAGGGUCUUGCCUUGACCACUAGAUGACAGAAAGAGAAGAAAAAAAACAUUAUGGGCUCAACAUAACAACGUGUCAGUGGAAGGGAGGACAGUAGCAGGAGACCAGUGGAAGGGAGGACAGUAGCAGGUGACCAGUGGAAGGGAGGACAGUAGCAGGAGACCAGUGGAAGGGAGGACAGUAGCAGGUGACCAGUGGAAGGGAGGACAGUAGCAGGAGACCAGUGGAAGGGAGGACAGUAGCAGGUGACCAGUGGAAGGGAGGACAGUAGCAGGAGACCAGUGGAAGGGAGGACAGUAGCAGGUGACCAGUGGAAGGGAGGACAGUAGCAGGUGACCAGUGGAAGGGAGGACAGUAGCAGGUGACCAGUGGAAGGGAGGACAGUAGCAGGUGACCAGUGGAAGGGAGGACAGUAGCAGGUGACCAGUGGAAGGGAGGACAGUAGCAGGUGACCAGUGGAAGGGAGGACAGUAGCAGGUGACCAGUGGAAGGGAGGACAGUAGCAGGUGACCAGUGGAAGGGAGGACAGUAGCAGGAGACCAGUGGAAGGGAGGACAGUAGCGGAAGACCAGUGGAAGGGAGGACAGUAGCAGGUGACCAGUGGAAGGGAGGACAGUAGCGGAAGACCAGUGGAAGGGAGGACAGUAGCAGGUGACCAGUGGAAGGGAGGACAGUAGCAGAAGACCAGUGGAAGGGAGGACAGUAGCAGGUGACCAGUGGAAGGGAGGACAGUAGCAGGUGACCAGUGGAAGGGAGGACAGUAGCAGGAGACCAGUGGAAGGGAGGACAGUAGCGGAAGACCAGUGGAAGGGAGGACAGUAGCAGGUGACCAGUGGAAGGGAGGACAGUAGCAGGUGACCAGUGGAAGGGAGGACAGUAGCAGGUGACCAGUGGAAGGGAGGACAGUAGCAGGUGACCAGUGGAAGGGAGGACAGUAGCAGGUGACCAGUGGAAGGGAGGACAGUAGCAGGUGACCAGUGGAAGAGCCUUUGCUUAUUUCUCAUUUCUCAUAUGGAAAAUGGUUGAAACAUGUAUAGGGGAGUCCUAAAUGAUUGACACCCCUGAUAAAUGAAGUAUUCCAAAGUUCAGUAUUUGGUCCCAUAUUUCUAGCAUGCUAAAUGAUAACAUUUAGCUUGUGAAUCUACAAACUUGUUGGAAGCAUUUGCACUUCUUUUUGGUUGUGUUUCAGAUCAUUUUGUGCUCAAUAUAAAUGAGUGGUUAAUAAUGUAUUGUGUCAUUGUCACGUCUACUCCUGCUCCACCUCUCCAGCGCUCGACGUCUCUAGGUUUACUAACCACCAGUCCUGGCAACCCAUCAUAUACGCGGACCUGUGCCUCAAGUGUUCUCUCUACAGCUCUCGUGGACUCCGGUGCUGCUGGGAACAUCAUCGACCAGGCCCAUGCCUCCUCCCUGAACUUAACCUCAUAUCCGCUCUCCUCUCCUUUUCCUGUCCCAAGCCCCGGAUAUGCGACCAUUGGGAUCCGGCACAAUAACGCACAUCACAGCACCACUCACUCUCACUGUGGGAGAGCCUUCACGGAGAAGCUGGGGGUCAUGGUCAGUCUCACAUCCGGAUACUGGCCUCUGUCCCAUGGGCAGGUGGAGAGGACCAACCAGGACCCGGGGGGGGGGGUUCCUUAGGAGUCACUGUCUGGACCGGUAGGGGGACUGGGCCUCAGAACUCACUUUGUCACUCCUCCACCGUCUCCCUACCAGUGCGUCCUGGGGUACCAGCCGGCCCUGGCCCCGUGGACACCGAGCCAGAUCGAAGCCCAUGCGGUGGAUGAGUGGUUCCGGCGUGCAGAGGAGGUUUGGAACGCUGCCCAUGAGAGGCUCUAAUGCGCCGUCAACCGACAGAAGGGCCAGGCGGACCGCCACCAUAGUGAGGCUCCCGUGUUCCAUCCUGGUGAUCGCGUCUGACUCUCCACCAGGAACCUCCCGCUCCACUUGCCCUGCCGGAAGCUGAUUUUAUGGGGCAUUUCAAUGUCCUCCGGAGGGUCAUUGAGUUAACAUACCGAUUACAGCUCCCCACUAACUACCGGAUCUGACCCUAUUUUCAUGUUUCCCUCCUCAGGCCGAUGGCUCCUGGUCCCCUGGCUGAUGCUGUCCCCCAAGACACCCCUCCACCUCCCCUGGAUGUUGAGGGAAGCCCUGCCUAUGCCGUCAGAUCCCUCCUGGACUCCCAACGUUGUGGGGGUCGGCUUCAGUACCUGGUGGACUGCGUCCCAUCAUUAGGUACACCUUAACUUCAUCACAACCCUGAUUACUCACCUUUUAUUUAGCCCUCAGUUGUCAUCAGUCCUUAGGUGUUAUUGUUUUCUCCCACAUUCAGUACUCUUCUCCUGUCAUCAGUCCUUAGGUGUUAUUGUUUUCUCCCACAUCCAGUACUGUUCUCCUGUCAUCAGUCCUUAGGUGUUAUUGUUUUCUCCCACAUUCAGUACUCUUCUCAUGUCAUCAGUCCUUAGGUGUUAUUGUUUUCUACCACAUUCAGUACUCUUCUCCUGUCAUCAGUCCUUAGGUGUUAUUGUUUUCUCCCACAUUCAGUACUCUUCUCAUGUCAUCAGUCCUUAGGUGUUAUUGUUUUCUACCACAUUCAGUACUCUUCUCCUGUCAUCAGUCCUUAGGUGUUAUUGUUUUCUACCACAUUCAGUACUCUUCUCCUGUCAUCAGUCCUUAGGUGUUAUUGUUUUCUCCCACAUUCAGUACUCUUCUCAUGUCAUCAGUCCUUAGGUGUUAUUGUUUUCUCCCACAUUCAGUACUCUUCUCAUGUCAUCAGUCCUUAGGUGUUAUUGUUUUCUACCACAUUCAGUACUGUUCUCCUGUCAUCAGUCCUUAGGUGUUAUUGUUUUCUACCACAUUCAGUACUGUUCUCCUGUCAUCAGUCCUUAGGUGUUAUUGUUUUCUACCACAUUCAGUACUGUUCUCCUGUCAUCAGUCCUUAGGUGUUAUUGUUUUCUACCACAUUCAGUACUGUUCUCCUGUCAUCAGUCCUUAGGUGUUAUUGUUUUCUACCACAUUCAGUACUGUUCUCCUGUCAUCAGUCCAUUAUUCACCUGCUUUCUGACUCCCGGUCUGUUACGUUACGCUCAUUUUGGAGUCACUUUUAUUGUAUAUUAGAAUAGAAUAUGUUUCUUAACACUACUACAUUAAUGUGGAUGCUACCGUGAUUAUGGAUAAUCCUGAAUGAAUUGUGAAUAAGGAUGUGUGAGAAAGUUCAUACCCCCAAGAAAUGCUACUCUCUCGAAAUGACCAAAAAACAGGGGAUAACUGUAACUUGCUCACUCGUCAUUAUUCAUGACCCCUACCUUUCUGGAGAAAAAAAAUGAAUCGUGCACAUAUAUCCUGGGAUAAUGUAAGUAUGUCAACAAGACGUCCAGCAGCCUCUGACAGCUUCUCCGACCCCAACUGUCUUCAUCGCGACUUCACCACAUCCUUACAGCGGCAUUUCAAGGCCUGACUAACACUCGUCUAUGUGGUUGUGGAGGAUCCACACAGACCACUGACACAUGUUCAGAAACACAUCCACCACCACUUUCCAGGUUUUCAAAAACACAAAUAUCCACCCAGGCCCUCC
Molecule: long non-coding RNA, 6040 nt
Organism: Oncorhynchus keta (chum salmon)
Lineage: Eukaryota; Metazoa; Chordata; Actinopteri; Salmoniformes; Salmonidae
Exons: 9
Source: RefSeq, a predicted model, not a curated record